UACAAUUUAUUCAAAUAUAGUAUCAAAACUUAUAUAACACAGAGAUUUGAUAAAUUUUUAAUUGUUGAAUACUUUUUUUUGUGCUAAUUUUUAUGUGAUUAAGAUUUAAUUGAUUUCAUAUAUAAAAUAUUAAAUUGACUUAUUUGUUUAUAAUUUGAUAACAGAUAGAUAUUUGAAUAUUCAGUAUAUUUUGCUUCAGUUUAGGAAAUCUUUGAUGACCCGUCUUUAGAUCCAAUAAGCUCUAUAAUCUAGAGAUUAAUCUGCAGUAUACCGCAGGUAGGCUUAUAUUUUAGUUAAACUAAAAACUUUUAUUGUAAAGAUGAUUUAAAAAUAUAUGAUAUUAUUUUAUUUGAUUUUAAAUGUAUAGUAAACUGUGAGUUGUAUAUGUUUUGUUGAUAUUAUCUAUAUUGUUUAGUGUUUAAGAUUAUACACUUGUAGUUUGAUUGUUAAUUUAAGAGUUUUACAUGUAGUACACCAUCUUAUAUUAAUAUCGAUCUAAACCCGUCAAUUCUAUAAUUUUCCAGCUUGUAUUAAAAAUUGAAUCACAUCUAAUAUGUUAUUAACUAUUGUAGUAUAUAAAAUUAUAAAUUUUCAAUAUAAUAUGUAUGAAAUUAAAUAUAAAUAUUUUAAAUUUAUGUCCCGUUACUCAGUAGAAAGUUUUCUUAAAUCUAUUUUUCACCCGUUAUAAUAUUAUUUCAUGUAUUGAACAGUUUAUAUUCGUUUUUAAAAAUUCAAAUUAUGGCAUAUGCAAAAAAACUCUAAUUAUUUUUUUAUAAUGAUGAUAUUAUUUUUCCGUAAAAAUAGAAUCCUAUAAACAUGAGAAGUGAACUAUAAUAAUUAAUAAAAAAUUAAUAUGAUAAUUUAGAUACCAAAUAUAAUUUGUUGAUUUUAAUUGGUUACUUUUUUGGAAAUUAAUAAUGUAUUUCGUUUUUUUAAUUAAAUUAAAUUAAUUAAAAUUUAGAUAUCAAAUCUUAUAUGUUGAUU
This 984-nucleotide small RNA is filed under the name Arabidopsis thaliana (thale cress). Its description in RNAcentral is "ATSL175980". The record is from RNAcentral. Lineage: Eukaryota; Viridiplantae; Streptophyta; Magnoliopsida; Brassicales; Brassicaceae.